This 253-nucleotide ribosomal RNA is filed under the name uncultured bacterium. RNAcentral's name for it is "partial 16S ribosomal RNA". It matches the Rfam family "Bacterial small subunit ribosomal RNA", at positions 524 to 776 of the family's 1533-position model. The record is from RNAcentral.
GACAGAGGGUGCAAACGUUGUUCGGAAUUACUGGGCGUAAAGCGAGUGUAGGCGGUCUGCUAAGUCGGGUGUGAAAGCCCUGGGCUCAACCCAGGAAGUGCACCCGAAACUGGCGGGCUAGAGUAUCGGAGAGGUUGGUGGAAUUCUCGGUGUAGAGGUGAAAUUCGUAGAUAUCGGGAGGAACACCAGUGGCGAAGGCGGCGACCUGGGCCAAUAUUGACGCUGAGGUGCGAAAGCGUGGGGAGCAAACAGG